CGUAAAUCCAAGCUGGUACUGUGAGAUUACCUAGGUCCUGCAGGCUUGUCACCUCACUCUCUGAUUUUGGUCAAAAUCAGUAUUAAAUUAGAAAUCAUGUAAUUGUGAAACCCAGGCACUGACUGUUUUACUAGUCAGCAUUACUGAUUGGACUUUGAACCAGAGAAUGGGGACAUGUGACUCUCCGGGCAGCCUGGAUAGGGGAUCUGACUCAGAGAAGCCAAAAAUCCUGCUGCUUACGUCACUCUCCCUGCUCAGACUCAGAGUCCAGGAGGGCCGGUGCUUACCCAUCUGAAGCAGUUGGGGGAGAGGCUAAGAGCUCCUUGAAUUCUCUCAGUGACUCCUGCCAUCAAGAGGAAAUGCAGUAAGGAGGAAAUAGAAAUUCAACAUCCCAGAACACUGUCUAAUAGAAGUAUAAUGUGGACUUCUUAGAUAGAGAACCAUCUUGUCAAUUCUGGUACACUGAAUAACGGCCCUCAAAGACAUCCAGUUCCUAAUCCUGGUAACCAGUGAAUGUUGCCUUAUAUGGAAAAAAGGUCCUUGCAGAUGUAAUUAAAUUAAGGAUUUUGAGCUGGAGAAAAUAUCCUGGAUUAUCUAGGAAGAUGUCAUAACUCUGAGGUUUCUGGCAUUUUAUACAUCCUCAUCUUCUCUGAAAUAUUUACAGGAGGAAAUUCUGACAUGUGAGAGUGGAGAUAAGGACUCACAGAUUUUUUUUUUUUUAAAGAUUUUAUUUUUUUUCCUUUUUCUCCCAAAGCCCCCCAGUACAUAGUUGUAUAUUCUUUGUUGUGGGUCCUUCUAGUUGUGGCAUGUGGGACGCUGCCUCAGUGUGGUUUGAUGAGUGAUGCCAUGUCUGCGCCCAGGAUUCGAACCAACGAAACACUGGGCCGCCUGCAGCGGAGCACGCGAACUUAACCACUUGGCCACGGGGCCAGCCCAGCAGAUUUUUGUUUUUUUUAAAGAUUGGCACCUGAGCUAACAACUGUGGCCAAUCCUUUAUUUUUUUCCUUCUCCCCAAAGCUCCCACAGUACAUAGUUGGAUAUUCCAGUUGUGAGUCCCUCUGUUUGUGCUAUGCGGGAUGCCAUCUCAGCAUGGCCUGAUGAGCAUCGCCAUGUCCACGCUCAGGAUCUGAACCAGCAAAACCCUGGGCCGCUGAAGUGGAGAGAGAGAACUUAACCAGCAGGCCACAGGGCUGGCCCCUCACAAAUUUUUAAUAUGGCUGAAUGAGGCAUUUUGGGCAGGUAACUUUUCUAGUAGGUGGAUCUAGCAGGAAACUUAAAAAAUACAAAUGCCUUGGUCUUCCUCAGAAUGUCCAGAAGAGAGACAAAGAGUUUGUAUUUCUGAAAAAUUCUGCACGUGAUUCAGGUAUGCACAAAGGUUUCCUUGUCUUGGGUUAUAAUAGCAAACCCUCAGGACUUUCCUAAACUGUCAAGCAUCCCCAAAGGCCUGUUACUUGUCAUCUCACUGAAGUCACUAUGAGAACGUGUCCCUUUCUCUCUGAGCUAGCAAGAGAUUCUAGUCACACUUCUUGCCCCCAGAAGUAUCUCUCAGAGCUUUCUUCUAUAUAGUAAAUCUUACUAAGGGUCAGAAAGGGCAACUGGAAAUAUUUAAUCAAUUUUACUGUAUUUUAUGGGGAAAUUUUUAUGAUCGUGAAGCAUUUGUAAAUUGAGGAUUAAAAAGUUCUCCAGUGUAUCUUUUUCAAACGUCAGGGGUAUAUUGUUUCUAGUUUAUACUAAUAUUGUGAAUGUAAGUUUGAUGGGAAAAUGGAAAAUAUUCUGCAAACAUAGUAAUCUUGAGAGAAGGAAGUAUAUCAUCUUUUCUUUCUGACUUGAAUCCUAAAUCUUCUUCAAGGAGCUCUUUGAACUCAGCCUUCUCCUUAAAGACUUCUAAUAUACUCAAUUUUCAUGGUAGCUUGUAUUGUUUUUAAUUGUGAGACAUUUGCAAUCAUUUUGGUGCCUGCAUAUUAUGAUUUCUAUCGUACUUUAAUUAUGACAUUUUAAAAUUUACAUUUUUAUUUUUCUCAACAGGUAUGAGGCCCUUCAGGGCUGAGAUCUUUAAUACCCUAUGCAGUGCUAAGAAUAUUGUCAAGGACAUUUUAAGUGCAAGAAACUCAAAUAUUGAAUUGAAUAAAACAAAAACAUCUUAACAAAGAAACUGAUUUUAUCAGUUUCAACUAAUCAAACUAUCACUUACCUAUCUUGGUUUCUUUAUAGUUAGAAAAUUUAGGGAGCCUAAAGUGACCACUUUCUUUGUGCAGUUGGUUCUCACGAUAUGAUUGCCAUUUUGGUGGUUUGAAUAAUAGUCUUUUUUAAAAGAAUGUAUUUCAAGAUCUGCUGUACUCAUCUGCAAACAGCAAAACCAAACUUUUUAGCUGCAGUAGUGUGAUCUGGUGUGUAUAUUUAUAUUCUUCCGUCUGUGUUUCAUUUACAUGUGUGUGGGGAGGUGAGAGGAGAAACUUUCUUUGCUGUAAUUAUCACCACGAUAAUUAGUUGGGAAGCAUACAACAGUUACCCACGGUCAGGAGUGGUCUGGAAACAGAGGAUCCAACUUCUGAUCUAUUGUCAGAAGGUCAGUAGUAGACUAAGGCCACAUCACAAUGCUUAUGUCACUCACCUCACUUCAUCUCAUCACUUGGCCAUUGUAUCAUCUCACAUCAUCACGAGAAGAAGAAGGGUGAGUACGGUACAAUCAGAUAUUGUGAGAGUGAGCACAUUCGCAUAAAUUUAUUACAGUAUAUUGUUAUAAUUAUUCUAUGUUAUUAUUAGUUAUUAUUGGUAUGUCUUACUGUGUCUAAUUUAUAAAUUAAACUUUAUCAUAGGUAUGUAUGUAUAGGAGAAAACACGGUAUAUAUCAGGCUCAGUAAGUCUGUGGUUUCAG
RNAcentral lists this long non-coding RNA (2875 nucleotides) under Equus caballus (horse). RNAcentral's name for it is "lncRNA (ENSECAG00000052425.1)". Lineage: Eukaryota; Metazoa; Chordata; Mammalia; Perissodactyla; Equidae. The record is from RNAcentral.